CAUCCUCCAUGUUCGUGGAAGGUAGGACAAGAAGUAAUCGACUUAGUCUGCAGGAAGGGAGAUUUAUAUUAGAGAUUAGGAAAUAUUUCUAACUAAAAAGGUAGUUAUGCUCUGGAACAGGCUUCCAAGGGAGGUUGUGGAAUCCUCUGCACUGGCGGUCUUUUAGAACAAGUUAAACAAACACCUGCCAGGGAUGGUCUAGGUAUACUUGGUCCUGCCUCGGCACAGGGGGCUGAACUAGAUGACCUCUCAAUAGGGUUGCCAGCAUUGCAUUUCAAAAAUAAAGGACGGUUUCCUUAGCACCCACACUGCACCCCACCUCCCGAUAUCAUCAUCAUCAGUAUUAGUAAUAAUAAGCAGUAGUGACCUACAUUCGCCAGGGAUAUUUCUUGCUGCUUUUUGCAGCACUCAGCAAUUCCCGAUCUUGUUGUACAGAGGUGAAAAAAUAAGGGCUGUCCCUUGUAAUAAGGGACUGUUGGGAGUCCUGCCUCUCAAGGACCUUGCAGCCCUACAUUUCUAUGAUUCCAUUAUUCUAAGUUUUCUGCAAUCAGAAUGACACCGGAUGCUUUAGCCUCUUCUGAUAACAAACAAUUCUCCGAAGAACCUGGUUCCCUACACUACGCUUUCUAAAGCACAAUAAUAGCUUCCUUACCCACUGAAGAGAAGGAGCCCCGUUGGGCAUCUGAAUCUGAACUUUCUCAAAGUUUGGGGUGCUCCUCUCAGGAAUUUGGUAUGGCCACGGUUGUUAUCCAGAUCUGUAUUUCAGUUAGUUAACACUGAUGUACUUGACAUUUAUAUUUAUGUUAUGGUAGGGACCCCAGGCACCUAGAGAUCAUGCUAGGUACACUUAUAUAAAUUGUAAACCUACACUGUGGCACUAUCGCAUAAUCUAAACACACUUAAAUGACUCCAAGAAAAUUACUUCUUCUCUGCUUCCUUGCAAAGGUCUCUAGGUUAUUUGAAUAAUCCAAAUAGGGAUAUCACUAAAAUAAAAUAUGUAAUGUUGUUACUGCUGUAGCACCCAGACACCCCAAUAAGACUCAAGACUCCAUUAUGCUAGGUGCUAUGUGAACAGAGAAACAUAAUUUCUGCUCUAUAAGGAAGUACUAAAAAUGCUUGUCAGAAUGUUUAAAGCUGGGUGCCUUCAGACAGGUUGGUAAAGUCACAUUUUGGCACUUAAACUGAUGCCCUUGCUAAUUUCCUGCUGUUCUCAUUGACUUCAGUGGGUUUUGUGAGACCUCAGCACCUCUCAAAAUCAGACUGAUUUUUAUUCAAAAUAUGAAUUUUGCAACCUAACUUUAGGCACUUUGAACAUUUUGACUACUGUUGUUGUUCUUAGGUUUAGCCCUGUAGCCGCUUCAGCCAGUGUCUGGUUCUAGAUGAAGUCUAGCUAAGCAAGACCAUUCUGUAUUUUUCCAAACCCUGCCAACUUUCCAUAAAUAUUAUAACUUAUAAUAUUGUGAGUCAUGUCCUUUGGCAUGGGUAGGUUGCUAUAUUUAUACAUGGCUUUAUACUUCUUUUGCUUUAUAAAUAAAGUUUAACUGAACAAAUUUAUCUACGAACUUUACUAUGUAUUAAAAAUUCAGCUCAAUAUGUCACUACAAGGGGGUACUUGUUUCUUUGUUUGUUUGUUUUAGUUUGAGUUGAUUUGGGGAGGUGAUCAAGAAAACAAGACUCUUUUGAGCAAGGCAGGUGCUGCGCAAAUCUUUCUCUUUUUUUUUUUUUUUUUUUUUGAGCACCUCAGUUCUGGUCUGUAACAGUCCCUGUUGUUGCAGUGCUGAACACCUUUAGCAGAGCCUGCCAGUUAUAACAAAGGAUGUAGGAGUUUGUGACAUACACAAAUGGAGAUCAGCGGAGGCACCCAUGCUUAUCUUCACUUGACGCCUAAACCAGCACUUGAAUCCAAAGACAGCAAGUGUUCAUCAAGCAUAAACAGUAAAUAUCUCAUCCCAAAAGUGACCUUGGAGACAUGCAGCUGAAAUGAAAACAAUGUUUAACUGCUGUUGGACUGAGUCACACUUUAAUGGAGCUGACACUGAGAGGAAGGUUUUGCAGUGUUUCCUUAAAAUGGAUUUCCUCUGGAUUUGUCUGAUCGCCUCUUGAAGUUUGUUCCAUUGCGAGAUUCCCCUGACUGAAAAAAAUUCUUUGUUCCAGCUCUUAUGUGUUUUGUCCUUGUCUUUGUGAUCCGCAUUGUCCCAGAGGAGUGCAGCCGCUGUGGUGGUUCACAGAUUGAAACUCAGUCUUUGAUGUAGCUGAUCCAUUAACUGCUUUGAAAAUUAGGACCCAGGCCUUAAACUGGCAUCCAGAGCUGAUGGGGGCCAAUGGAGGGACUUGAGCAUGGGCCUGAUAAACUGAGGGCAGCCUAAGCCCUGGAAACAAUGGGCAACUGCAUUCUGUGCCAGCUGGAACCUGUGCAUUUUUUCACAUCCAGUUUUAUGUACAGUCAGAUGCAGUAAUCCAGCCUGGAGAUGAUGAAUUCAUGGAUUCCUCUGGCUAGUUCCUCAUCUGUGAGGGGGAAGGGAUGAAGUUUUUUAGCUAGCUGAAGGUCAAAUAAGGCAGUUUUAGAAGCUGAUACUAUCGGGCCAUCCAAGAUUAAUGAGUCUUCAAAGAGGAUGCUGAGGCCUUGUGCUCCCAUGAUGAAUGGGAGUGGUGAGCCUUUGGUGGAAGGAGACAGUGCACCAGCACUGGUAGCUACUUCCCUCGUGGUGGUGGGUUUUUUACAGCACUGGGAGAGCUCUCUCUGGUGCCAUGACUACAUAGCCACGUUAAAGUGCUUUAACAUUGCUAGUGAAGACAUACCCUUAGUGUCAUCAGCAUACUGUUAACAGCUGAGCCCAUGGUGUCUCACUCUCUCUCCCAGUGACCUCAUGUAGCUAUUGAAGAGAAGCAGGGAUAGUCUGGAUCCCUGCAGGACCCCAUAGAGGAGGGCUGUCAUAAAGAUAAAGGGAAGGGUAACCACCUUUCUGUAUACAGUGCUAUAAAAUCCCUCCUAGCCAGAGGCAAAACCCUUUCACCUGUAAAGAGUUAAGAAGCAAAGGUAACCUCGCUGGCACCUGACCCAAAAUGACUAAUGAGGAGACAAGAUACUUUCAAAUCUGCGGGGGGAAUAAAGGGUCUGUCUGUCUGUGUGAUGCUUUUGCUGGGAACAGAUCAGGAAUGCAGCCUUACAACUCCUGUUAGUUAGUAAGUAAUCUAGCUAGAUAUGCAUUAGAUUUCCUUUUGUUUAAUGGCUGGUAAAAUAAACUGUGCUGGAUGGAAUGUAUAUUCCUGUUUUUGUGCCUUUUUAUAACUUAAGGUUUUGCCUAGAGGGAUUCUCUAUGUUUUGAAUCUGAUUACUCUGUAAGGUAUUUACCAUCCUGAUUUUACAGAGGUGAUUCUUUUACUUUUUCUUUAAUUAAAAUUCUUCUUUU
Long non-coding RNA from Chelonia mydas (Green sea turtle), 3410 nucleotides. RefSeq lists it as uncharacterized. The transcript is spliced from 3 exons. The record is from RefSeq and is a predicted model, not a curated record. Lineage: Eukaryota; Metazoa; Chordata; Testudines; Cheloniidae.